UCCUGUCUGAAUGGAUUGUUUUUAUUG
RNAcentral lists this non-coding RNA (27 nucleotides) under Mus musculus (house mouse). Lineage: Eukaryota; Metazoa; Chordata; Mammalia; Rodentia; Muridae. The record is from RNAcentral.